GAUGAACGCUGGCGGCGUGCCUAAUACAUGCAAGUAGAACGCUGACGGAGGAGCUUGCUCUUCUGGAUGAGUUGCGAACGGGUGAGUAACGCGUAGGUAACCUGCCUGGUAGCGGGGGAUAACUAUUGGAAACGAUAGCUAAUACCGCAUGACAACAGUUAUUGCAUGAUAACUGUUUAAAAGGGGCAACUGCUCCACUACCAGAUGGACCUGCGUUGUAUUAGCUAGUUGGUGAGGUAACGGCUCACCAAGGCGACGAUACAUAGCCGACCUGGGAGGGUGAUCGGCCACACUGGGAAUGAGACACGGCCCAGACUCCUACGGGAGGCAGCAGUAGGGAAUCUUCGGCAAUGGACGGAAGUCUGACCGAGCAACGCCGCGUGAGUGAAGAAGGUUUUCGGAUCGUAAAGCUCUGUUGUAAGAGAAGAACGAGUGUGAGAGUGGAAAGUUCACACUGUGACGGUAUCUUACCAGAAAGGGACGGCUAACUACGUG
Molecule: ribosomal RNA, 495 nt
Filed under: uncultured bacterium
Lineage: Bacteria
Description: partial 16S ribosomal RNA
Rfam family: Bacterial small subunit ribosomal RNA
Source: RNAcentral